Molecule: long non-coding RNA, 999 nt
Organism: Dioscorea cayenensis subsp. rotundata (Guinea yam)
Lineage: Eukaryota; Viridiplantae; Streptophyta; Magnoliopsida; Dioscoreales; Dioscoreaceae
Exons: 4
Source: RefSeq, a predicted model, not a curated record
AUUCAUAUCAUCACCAUCUCCAUUACCCCUCGCUCCACGAGGAUUCUCACAUCUGCUCAAUAAUAUUGCAGGACCUCAUCGGAAGACGGUCAACACCCAUACUAUCCAUAGCCACAAGUCCCACCCAGUAGUUGGGGACAAUACUUUCCAAAUUUGCAAACCAAUGAUGCUGCGGUUCCUGGAGGAAUAUAAUCUUCAAACCCAGGUGUACCUUUUCCCCAUGAUGGUAUGAUAUCUAAGCUUGCUAUCAACCAACUAUUGAAUAUCUUAUUUGUUUUGUAAGUAAGGCUCACACCAUCAAGAGACAAAGAAUUCUCAAGAGGAGAGUACCCUGAACCUCUUGACUUUUUUCAAAGGAUUUUAUAUGUAGAUCAUUGAGAGGCCUCACAAAAAUUUUGUUUACGAGCUUCUUCUACAUGGCUCCGUGUCUGUUAGAUCUUCAAUUCAUGUUUCGCCGAAUCAUGCACAUCCUCACAAGUGGCCGUCAUUUGAUGUUCCUGCUUAUUAUUGAAGACCAGUGUAAAGUUAAAGCAGAAGGUUCUCUUUCCUGAUUCUGGUAUGAAUGGUCCAUGAUAGAUGAUUAUUAUGUCCUAUCCCACAGGAACAUGCCCUGUUUCUGCUAUCCCGAAAGCAUAUCUGAAUCUUCUGAACUAUGAAAAAUUUUAUUUUCCUCAUUUCAGCUGUCUUGUGAAAUGUCAAAGUUUGCAUUGUUCGUUUUACCUCAAGUUGGUCGAUGAAUAACUUUCAAAAGGCCUGCUUCAGUAGAAGAGAAUGUGAUAUGGUGUGGGCUACUGGCAAGGCUGUGCAUGUUAUAUUUUGUGUUGAUGGCUCCAUCUAAGAUGUUGAUCAAAGUUAAGAAUAAUAACUUGCUAUUCAUCAUGAGAUGAAGCCUCUAUGGAAUGACUGUUAUCUAGUUUAAAUAAAACUAGUGUUGUUGCAUUAAUUAAUGAUUAUGCUGGCCAGAGUGUUCUGUAGUGAUACCUUAAGACAUUUUGAAUU